GACGAACGCUGGCGGCGUGCCUAAUACAUGCAAGUAGAACGCUGAAGGAGGAGCUUGCUCUUCUUGGAUGAGUUGCGAACGGGUGAGUAACGCGUAGGUAACCUGCCUGGUAGCGGGGGAUAACUAUUGGAAACGAUAGCUAAUACCGCAUAAUAGUAGAUGUUGCAUGACAUUUGCUUAAAAGGUGCAAUUGCAUCACUACCAGAUGGACCUGCGUUGUAUUAGCUAGUUGGUGAGGUAACGGCUCACCAAGGCAACGAUACAUAGCCGACCUGAGAGGGUGAUCGGCCACACUGGGACUGAGACACGGCCCAGACUCCUACGGGAGGCAGCAGUAGGGAAUCUUCGGCAAUGGACGGAAGUCUGACCGAGCAACGCCGCGUGAGUGAAGAAGGGUUUCGGAUCGUAAAGCUCUGUUGUAAGAGAAGAACGAGUGUGAGAGUGGAAAGUUCACACUGUGACGGUAGCUUACCAGAAAGGGACGGCUAACUACGUG
Molecule: ribosomal RNA, 496 nt
Filed under: uncultured bacterium
Lineage: Bacteria
Description: partial 16S ribosomal RNA
Rfam family: Bacterial small subunit ribosomal RNA
Source: RNAcentral